RNAcentral lists this unclassified non-coding RNA (629 nucleotides) under Hevea brasiliensis (rubber tree). Lineage: Eukaryota; Viridiplantae; Streptophyta; Magnoliopsida; Malpighiales; Euphorbiaceae. The record is from RNAcentral.
ACUUAGGUGGAUCCAUGGGCUAGCGCAGCGUGUUAUACCCUGAGAGCAGAGCCAGAAGAUGUCAAACCUAUGUAGAUGGACUACCCCAUAUAAUACCAAGAGAUAACUAGGCCUCAACAGGUUCAGUCCAAUUGCACUUGAGGGGAGCAUUGAAAUGUGGCUUGUCCCACGGUAGAAAAAGAAGAAAAAUUGAGGAUCAUAUAAAGUUCAAGGCUACCAAAACAAAAUGGCUUAAGCCAUAUUGGUAGAGGUGUGUCAAUCAGACCAAUUGCAAUAGUCGACCCGUUUUGUGCUCCAACUCAUCGGGCCCGAUAAUCCCAACAUGGUAAUGGGUCCAUUUUAUAAUUUUUUUGAAGUAAAAGACAAUUAUUAAGCUCUUAUACUCUGACUCUUCAUUUUGCCUUGCCAUACCCGUGUCGACGCGACCCAAUAUGACAUAGGACACAACAUGGAAUAUGUGUCUGACACAUAUUCAUGCAGUCGGACACUCGAGUGACAGAGUUCUCUCAAUAUGAAAAGCAUAUUGAAUCAAAGGAUAGGUUAAAAAAAAAGUUAAAAAGAGAAUACAACUUUGAAUUAAAGGAUGGGUACAAAACAAGUUAAUGAAUAUUGAAUAUUUCGAGAAUCCA